UAGCAUUCUUUUCUUGUAGAAAGAAUAAGAACGGCCAACUGAUAAA
RNAcentral lists this small nucleolar RNA (46 nucleotides) under Drosophila grimshawi. RNAcentral describes it as "snoRNA:GH25768". Lineage: Eukaryota; Metazoa; Arthropoda; Insecta; Diptera; Drosophilidae. The record is from RNAcentral.